CAAGAGUGGACAAGAGGCAAGUCAGAGGCAUGUGCACUGUUGUUCUUCUAUGACAUUUUAAUUCCUAGAGAUGAAAAGAACAAACAGGCUUUCUGCACCAUUUGAAGAUUAAUGGGCCCAUCGAUAAAGCGGAAGCACCCUCUCAACAUUUUUUAAGGGAAGUUUUCUUCACAACAUUGGAGAUGCCACACGUACUGGCAAGGCAAUCGCAAACUGAGUUUAACUUGUGGUGUCUACUCAAACAUACACACAGGGUCUGAAUUUUUGAGACAAAAAUAAAUAACCAGCAUCAAAGGGGAAUUCCACAGAACCACAGUGGUAUUCCUUCAUGCCAUCGUCCUUUCCUUAGCUGCUGUGUUGCUCCUAUAUUGUCGGAUGUGCAGUUCUUCUGUGACACCACCACCUGAUUAAAGUCCUGUGCAGUCACCUGUGAUGUAUGAAUGUUUGAAUAAAAGCGCUUACCCCAACCUGCCUCUAGACCCACUGCAUGAAAUUCUUUAAGACGAAGCCUACAAAAAUACAGUAAAGAACUUCUCAAUAACAUUUAUGUUAGGUUGAAUGACCAGUGGGUGAUCUUUUGGCC
This is a long non-coding RNA of Polypterus senegalus (gray bichir), 583 nucleotides long. RefSeq lists it as uncharacterized. The transcript is spliced from 5 exons. The record is from RefSeq and is a predicted model, not a curated record. Lineage: Eukaryota; Metazoa; Chordata; Cladistia; Polypteriformes; Polypteridae.